GACGAAUGCUGGCUGCGUGCUUAACACAUGCAAGUCGAACGGUGAAGGGGAGCUUGCUCCCCGGAUCAGUGGCGAACGGGUGAGUAACACGUGGGCAACCUGCCCCUCACUCUGGGAUAACUCCGGGAAACCGGGGCUAAUACCGGAUACGACCGGGAGCGACAUCGCUCCUGGUGGAAAGAAUCUCGGUGAGGGAUGGGCCCGCGGCCUAUCAGCUAGUUGGUGGGGUAACGGCCCACCAAGGCGACGACGGGUAGCCGGCCUGAGAGGGCGACCGGCCACACUGGGACUGAGACACGGCCCAGACUCCUACGGGAGGCAGCAGUGGGGAAUAUUGCGCAAUGGGCGAAAGCCUGACGCAGCGACGCAGCGUGAGGGACGAAGGCCUUCGGGUUGUAAACCUCUUUCAGCGGGGACGAAGCGAAAGUGACGGUACCCGCAGAAGAAGCACCGGCUAACUACGUGCCAGCCGCCGCCGUAA
This 481-nucleotide ribosomal RNA is filed under the name uncultured bacterium. RNAcentral describes it as "partial 16S ribosomal RNA". It matches the Rfam family "Bacterial small subunit ribosomal RNA", at positions 28 to 523 of the family's 1533-position model. The record is from RNAcentral.